Molecule: ribosomal RNA, 772 nt
Filed under: uncultured Neocallimastigales
Lineage: Eukaryota; Fungi; Neocallimastigomycota; Neocallimastigomycetes; Neocallimastigales
Description: partial large subunit ribosomal RNA
Rfam family: Eukaryotic large subunit ribosomal RNA
Source: RNAcentral
UACUAGAGUAGCACUCGCAUAUCAAUAAGCGGAGGAAAAGAAACUAACAAGGAUUCCCUUAGUAACGGCGAGUGAAGCGGGAAGAGCUCAAAUUUGAAAUCUUCAAGGUUUUACCUUGACGAAUUGUAGUUUAAAGAAGUGUUUUCUGUUGGAGUUUUGGUAAAAGUUCUUUGGAAUAGGACAUCAUAGAGGGUGAGAAUCCCGUAUUUGACCAUUAUUUCCAGCUGUGUGAUACACUUUCAAAGAGUCGGAUUGUUUGGGAAUGCAGUCCAAGAUGGGUGGUAAAUUUCAUCUAAAGCUAAAUAUUGGCGAGAGACCGAUAGCGAACAAGUACCGUGAGGGAAAGAUGAAAAGAACUUUGAAAAGAGAGUUAAACAGUACGUGAAAUUGUCAAAAGGGAAGCGUUUGACACCAGUGUUGUUUAUUCGAAAAUCAAUUCAAAUGAUUUGGAUUCUAGUAGUAUUGACUUCAUCAGCUUUCUGCACUUUCUUCUCAUAUUAUUAAUGCACUUUUCAGUUAACAAGUCUACAUCAAUUUCUUUUGUUGUAAAAGGGUAAGAGGAAGGUGGCUUGCGCUUCGGCUCAAGUGUUUAUAGCCUUUUAUCUCUGCAAUCGGAGAGAUUGAGGUCUGCAGCGUAGAUCCUUCGGGGUUAGAUACAUUGGUGCUAAGCUAUAGCCUUGUAUAGACAACUUGUUGACUAUGCUCAGUCAUGUAGCUUACUCGCUGAUGCUAUUUUACCUACGCUUAGGAUGUUGAUAGUCACAGCGUGUAC